GGGAGGUGGGCUGAGCACCCUGAAGGCAGAGCGGCGGAACAGCUCUGAGGGAGAAGGUCUACCGCAGAAGGGCUUGGCUGCGGCCUAAACCUCUUGGGACCCCCACCUUUGCUCGGGCCAGCAGCCUGUCUCCCAGCAGCUGACCCCGGCCUUCCCUCGGUCCUGCCGACACCCCUCCAACCAGAUGCUCGGGUGGGCAGGCCCCAUGCACACUGGGCCAACCGGGUCCCAGGCAGGUAGGCAGUGACCCAGGCCCAUGCCACCCAGCAACUGCCAUGGACAGAUGAGCUGGCAGCGCCCUCAGCCCUACCACGCAGGUGCUCGCAAGGACAGACACACCCAGGCCCAGCAACAUGACAGCUCCCCACCACGGGGACAGUGGCCCGGCCAACAGACAACAAGGCAGGUGGCAGAACAGCCCUUUAUCAACAGUCACAGCAUGAACUGGUCUCGCAGCCAAGCCGCUCAGGUCAUUUCGGGCAGCAGCUUCCAGAAGGGUGACACUGGGAGGGAAGAGGACCCGCUUCCGCGGCACGCCACCCGCUACCUCCUUCCGUGGCCUCUCCCUGUGGCUCUUCUCAGCCUGGGCCCACAUCUUCACCUGCUGGGCGCGUCGCUUCUGGGCAUGCUUCAGCCGCUCCUGUGUGCUCAUCCGGCCCACUACAGGCAUCUCUGCCAGCAGCUCUAGGUGCUCAGCCAUGGUGGGGGCUGCCUACCAGGGGGGCUGCCCGGGACACCAGGUGCCCACCAGGAGUCCCAAUUUUCACUCGGCCAGGCCCUGUGACCAUCUAGAUACAGACCCAGACCUGCACUUGGACGUCUCAGAGAUGCCAUCCACCUCGUCAUUUUAUAGAAGAGAUUCCGAUGCCUACAUUCUACAGAAAACAACCUAAAAUAGCAACCAGCUUUUCAAACUGAGUACAUGCUGCUCUUGGCUUACGCAUCCUGAAGGCCGUCUGUGAAAGUCCACCACACAGCAGGACCCAGAACCUCAACACGCCUCUCCACCAGCCCUGCCCUCUGGCUGCGGCGGGAAGAGAGGGCCCCCAGUGCCCUGGGCAGCGCACAGAGAAGCCAGUGUCCUGGCCUGGGCUGUGGCAGCUUACGAGGGUCCUCAGCCCCCGACUCUCGUGGGUCCGCCUUCCUGAGGCCCCGGUCUCCUCGGGGCGGUCUCCGUCACCGUGGGCAGCCCUGACUGCCUCUUCUGUACCCAAGCUGAGCCUGAGGGGGCCCAGGGAGUCCCAGAGACCUGCGGCAGGGGGCACCGCCAUCUGGCAGAGCCUCCGUCGAGGGGGCAUGACAGUGUCUUGUGCCUGGCUCCUCCCAGACUGAGCCUUGAACUUCCAAGCCCCUGGCCCCCUGGAUCCUCCUGCUACCCCCCAGAGCCUCAGUCGGUCACCUUCUCCCAGCCACUCAGCCCAGGGACAGUCCACCGGAGCUAGAAGACUUGCCCUUUGGCUGAGCCAGGAAGGACAAGGCGUUCAGUGGAGUCUGUCCGAACGGCCACCACACCACACCCAGAACAAGGCGGGCUGAGCAGGGCAGCUCUGCCUUGGUGCACAAAUCUGCCCCAAGCCUCCCUGGAAUAUCAAACAGAUAACCUGGCAGUUUUUCCCAGGUCUUGGCUCCGUGCCCAAGCAAGCUGCAUGGAGUGCGGAACUGAGAUCAGGAGAGGCCCGGGGAAGGACCGCAGCAACUGUGCAGUACUGGACACCUGGUUUUGGGGACAGGAACCCAUGCCCAGACCCCAUCCAGGCCCGGACAGAGCCAUGCUGGCCUGAGGGUCUCAGCAGCCUUCCAUAACGCCUACCACAGCUCUCCGCCAGUAGGUCCCAUCAUUACCCCCAUUUUCCACAUGGGGAAGCUGAGGCCAUGCCUGGACCUGGAGUCCUGUGACCCACUUCACAACACUGCCUCUCAUGUCCACCUCAGGAUCUGUGUGAGAAUCAGAGAUGGUGUGGCAGAAGCCCAGAGCCUGCGAGGAGCGGUAAGUACCACCUCCUCACCCAGAGAGGCCAUGCCAUGUUCAGAGAGGGAGGAAGGGAUGAAGGGGUCUCAGAGGAAUGCUGAGGGAGAGGGGAUGGAGGCUGGGGAGCCCCCCUGUAUCAGGCCCAGGGCACACCUUUCCCCUGAUUCUGGGGCUGUAGGUCCUAUCCUGCUUGGCUUGUUGGAGUGGGUUACUACAACUUGCAAUCCAAAGACUGCUUUAUCUGUUGUCUGUCCACAAUAGUGAAAGCUGGGCAGCUGGGUGCCCCUCACCCUGGGAAAAUGAUGUGUGCAUUACCAUCCUGCACAGCAGCAAGAUGAGGCCAUCUAUCUGCCAAGGGCCAGGGCUGUGACUUGGUCACCGAAAGCCCAGGGUGGAGGUGACACUGCCCAGGUGUUGAGGAUGGAUACAGAUGCUUGUUUCUUUGCACAAACAGAGAGGGCAUGAGGGCAAGGACUGUGACCUGAGAUCAUGGGGCAGCAAGGGCACCCAGCCCCCACCCGGCUUGGCUCCCCUUGGAAGACUCCAGUCCCCCCAUGGCUCCAAGCCCGGGAGGCUUCCCCGGCUGGCCCUGUGUCUCAUCCUGUCUCUUCCACUAGAGGGCAUGGCCCCUGCUGUCUCCUCAGCCACACCUGGACCCUGCAACAGGACCCUGGGUGUCUGUGACGGGCUGAGGAGGCAAGGCCAGGCGCAGUCAGGGAGCACGACCAGCUGAGGCCCAGGGGCCCUGUGGCCAGCACCGUCCAGUCAGGGAGGAGCUAGAUGCCCAGAGAUCCUCAGACACACCAAGUAGAGGACAAGACCAUGAAGAGCAGCCCCGCCUGCCCUCCGAUGUGUCCCGAUGGGCACUCCGCUGUGUGCGUGCUCUGGUCACUUGGCCAGCACACCUCCCUCCUGGCUCCCUGCUUGACCUAGCUUUGCUCUUGGGGUGGGGACAGGGGAUAGGUGGGAACAGCAGAGGAACAGGAUGUGCAUCAGUGGUGGGGCACAGGGGACCCUGGGGGCAGUUCUGUGCCCAGACAAGCGAGGAAGCGGCCCUGCUGUAAGCCCAUGGCAGGGCCUCGCCUGCUCCCCACAGGCUCUGAACAGAGCUUGAGAGCUGGCAGUGGGCAGGGUGGGCUGAGGAGGUGCGGCAGCGAGGACAGGGAGGCUGGGGCCAAGCACUGCCGCAGGCGGGCAGGCAGCCCAC
This is a non-coding RNA of Manis javanica (Malayan pangolin), 3176 nucleotides long. Lineage: Eukaryota; Metazoa; Chordata; Mammalia; Pholidota; Manidae. The record is from RefSeq and is a predicted model, not a curated record.